UGAGGAAUAUUGGUCAAUGGGCGGGAGCCUGAACCAGCCAAGCCGCGUGAGGGAGGAAGGCCCUAUGGGUCGUAAACCUCUUUUGUCAGGGAACAAAAGCGAGUAUGUAUACUAGUCUGAGUGUACCUGAAGAAAAAGGCAUCGGCUAACUCCGUGCCAGCAGCCGCGGUAAUACGGAGGAUGCGAGCGUUAUCCGGAUUUAUUGGGUUUAAACGGGUGCGUAGGCGGCGGUGCAAGUCAGCGGUAAAAGCCCGGGGCUCAACCCCGGCGAGCCGUUGAAACUGUAGUGCUAGAGAAGGCGAGAGGUACGCGGAAUGCGCAGUGUAGCGGUGAAAUGCUUAGAUAUUGCGCAGAACUCCGAUUGCGAAGGCAGCGUACUGGCGCCUGACUGACGCUGAGGCACGAAAGCGUGGGGAUCGAACAGGAUUAGAUACC
RNAcentral lists this ribosomal RNA (435 nucleotides) under uncultured bacterium. Its description in RNAcentral is "bacterial SSU rRNA". It matches the Rfam family "Bacterial small subunit ribosomal RNA", at positions 355 to 786 of the family's 1533-position model. The record is from RNAcentral.